CUCUGCUGGAUCCAUCAUCAGACCCGAGCCCCUCCGCCACUUCUCCAUAUAUAAAAAUAAUUUUUUUCACAUACCGUCAAAGGUAAAGAUGUUGCUCCUUUUAAAAUUUUCUCUAAAUACAUCAGGAAGCAUUUACCAAGACCAAAGAUGUUACCUUAGGUCACCGCAGCACAAUGGCCCGAAUCAGAACAUCCGCUGUGGACGCAGCUCACAGUCCAUGGCCAUCCACUGCCCAGCCGGGGGCUCGCUGGCCUCCGCCGCCUCCACCCCACCAUCCAGAAUCACGCGCUGUGCUGAGUUGACAUGUUCUUCUCCUCUAAUCUGGAAGCCCUUCUUUUCUGUUUCUGGACCUUGAUAUUUUUUUGAAGAGUCCAGACCAGUUGUUUUGGAAAAUGUUCCCUUAUUAGAGUCCGUGUGAUGUUUCCACGUGCAUUUUUGUGGAGGAAAUAUAGAAUCCUUAAAGGUGACAGCUUUGUCACCAGACACGUGAGAUGGGACGGCUUGCAGCCCCAGGUCUCCAUGCGUCCCGUGGGUCCUUGGAGGAGGCUCCUCCAGUUUCCAGGGCUCUCAGGCUCAUGGUUUCUGGGCUUUGCUGGCCGAGUCUUGAUGAUUGCUGGGUUUUCAAGGUCAUGUCACUUUUGGAGCGACCUCAAGACCGUGGUCCAUUCCGGGUCAUCUUUAGCAAGAUGUGAUUCCAUAGAUCUGCUUAAGGAUUUCUGUUGCCCAGCCUCCCUGCAGUAACACCAGCUGUCCAUCACCUGACUGUUUACACUGUAACCAUUCCUAGCCCUCCCCAUACCAGCU
Molecule: long non-coding RNA, 804 nt
Filed under: Marmota monax (woodchuck)
Lineage: Eukaryota; Metazoa; Chordata; Mammalia; Rodentia; Sciuridae
Source: RNAcentral